AUUGAACGCUGGCGGCAUGCCUUACACAUGCAAGUCGAACGGCAGCACGGGAGCAAUCCUGGUGGCGAGUGGCGAACGGGUGAGUAAUAUAUCGGAACGUGCCCAGUCGUGGGGGAUAACGUAGCGAAAGCUACGCUAAUACCGCAUACGAUCUAUGGAUGAAAGCGGGGGAUCGCAAGACCUCGCGCGAUUGGAGCGGCCGAUAUCAGAUUAGGUAGUUGGUGAGGUAAAGGCUCACCAAGCCGACGAUCUGUAGCUGGUCUGAGAGGACGACCAGCCACACUGGGACUGAGACACGGCCCAGACUCCUGCGGGAGGCAGCAGUGGGGAAUUUUGGACAAUGGGCGCAAGCCUGAUCCAGCAAUGCCGCGUGCAGGAUGAAGGCCUUCGGGUUGUAAACUGCUUUUGUACGGAACGAAACGGCGAGCUCUAAUACAGUUUGCUAAUGACGGUACCGUAAGAAUAAGCACCGGGUAACUACGUGCCAGCAGCCGCAGUAA
RNAcentral lists this ribosomal RNA (500 nucleotides) under uncultured bacterium. RNAcentral describes it as "partial 16S ribosomal RNA". It matches the Rfam family "Bacterial small subunit ribosomal RNA", at positions 30 to 523 of the family's 1533-position model. The record is from RNAcentral.